RNAcentral lists this ribosomal RNA (866 nucleotides) under uncultured bacterium. RNAcentral describes it as "bacterial SSU rRNA". It matches the Rfam family "Bacterial small subunit ribosomal RNA", at positions 28 to 896 of the family's 1533-position model. The record is from RNAcentral.
GAUGAACGCUAGCGACAGGCCUAACACAUGCAAGUCGAGCGGGAUUCUCCUUUCGGGGAGAUGAGAGCGGCGCACGGAUGCGUAACGCGUAUGAAACCUGCCUUAUACAAGGGGAUAGCCCAGAGAAAUUUGGAUUAAUACCCUAUAGUCUUUUAAAUACGCAUGUAUUAAAAAGUAAAGUUUCGGCGGUAUAAGAUGGUCAUGCGUGACAUUAGGUAGUUGGUGAGGUAACGGCUCACCAAGCCGACGAUGUCUAGGGGUUCUGAGAGGAAGGUCCCCCACACUGGUACUGAGACACGGACCAGACUCCUACGGGAGGCAGCAGUGAGGAAUAUUGGUCAAUGGCCGCAAGGCUGAACCAGCCAUGUCGCGUGAAGGAAGACUGCCCUAUGGGUUGUAAACUUCUUUUAUACGGGAAUAAUGUGAGCUUCGUGAAGCUUUUUGAAGGUACCGUAUGAAUAAGCAUCGGCUAACUCCGUGCCAGCAGCCGCGGUAAUACGGAGGAUGCGAGCGUUAUCCGGAUUUAUUGGGUUUAAAGGGUGCGUAGGCGGACUAUUAAGUCAGUGGUGAAAUCUUGCAGCUCAACUGUAAAACUGCCAUUGAUACUGAUAGUCUUGAAUUUAGUUGAGGUAGGCGGAAUGUGUUGUGUAGCGGUGAAAUGCAUAGAUAUAACACAGAACACCGAUUGCGAAGGCAGCUUACUAAGCUACAAUUGACGCUGAUGCACGAAAGCGUGGGGAGCGAACAGGAUUAGAUACCCUGGUAGUCCACGCCGUAAACGAUGAUUACUCGUUGUUGGCGAUAAACAGUCAGCGACUGAGCGAAAGCAUUAAGUAAUCCACCUGGGGAGUACGUUGGCAACAAUG